CAAGCAUUCAUCAAGUUCAAGGCUUUAUCAUCAUUCGGCUUCUCAAAUCCAUGCUUCUCCGAGAAACAGCCAAAGUCGCGGCCAUCAAUUUGAACGACAAUGAUGUUUGGGUACAUUACUUCAUCUUCCACCUCAAAACAUUUCACGUAUUCAUACCUGCUGUUCGCCAUUCCCAAAUGCCGCAACAAUCUGAAAAGAAUAGGGUUUAAUUGAUCGAUUGUUAGCAGAAACUGUG
This 235-nucleotide unclassified non-coding RNA is filed under the name Hevea brasiliensis (rubber tree). The record is from RNAcentral. Lineage: Eukaryota; Viridiplantae; Streptophyta; Magnoliopsida; Malpighiales; Euphorbiaceae.